GGGGAAUUUUCCGCAAUGGGCGAAAGCCUGACGGAGCAAUACCGCGUGAGGGAGGAAGGCCUUUGGGUUGUAAACCUCUUUUCUCAGGGAAGAAGAUCUGACGGUACCUGAGGAAUAAGCAUCGGCUAACUCCGUGCCAGCAGCCGCGGUAAUACGGAGGAUGCAAGCGUUAUCCGGAAUUAUUGGGCGUAAAGCGUCCGCAGGUGGUUAUUCAAGUCUGCUGUCAAAGACCAGAGCUUAACUCUGGACAGGCAGUGGAAACUGAAAAACUAGAGUCCGGUAGGGGUAGCGGGAAUUCCCAGUGUAGCGGUGAAAUGCGUAGAUAUUGGGAAGAACAUCGGUGGCGAAGGCGCGCUACUGGGCCGGAACUGACACUCAGGGACGAAAGCUAGGGGAGCGAAAGGGAUUAGAUACCCCUGUAGUC
Molecule: ribosomal RNA, 424 nt
Filed under: uncultured cyanobacterium
Lineage: Bacteria; Bacillati; Cyanobacteriota
Description: bacterial SSU rRNA
Rfam family: Bacterial small subunit ribosomal RNA
Source: RNAcentral